Molecule: ribosomal RNA, 325 nt
Filed under: Bifidobacterium pseudocatenulatum
Lineage: Bacteria; Bacillati; Actinomycetota; Actinomycetes; Bifidobacteriales; Bifidobacteriaceae
Also listed under: 1 other name
Description: partial 23S ribosomal RNA
Rfam family: Bacterial large subunit ribosomal RNA
Source: RNAcentral
CGCGAUAUCCGGUGGUCCAGGCCGUCGAGAAAAGCCUCGGCGCGAGGGGCGUCGCCGCCCGUACCCCAAACCGACACUGGUGGUCAGGUAGAGAAUACCAAGGCGAUCGAGCGAAUCCUGGUCAAGGAACUCGGCAAAUCACUCCCGUGCCUUCGGUAUAAGGGAGACCCCCGGGCGUGAAGAGGCUUGCCCUCGGAGCGUUGGGGGGUGGCACAGACCAGGGGGUAGCGACUGUUUACCAAAAACACAGGUGCAUGCGAAGGCGCAAGCCGCUGUAUAUGCACUGACGCCUGCCCGGUGCCGGAAGGUUAAGAGGAUCCGUCAG